RNAcentral lists this ribosomal RNA (443 nucleotides) under uncultured bacterium. RNAcentral's name for it is "partial 16S ribosomal RNA". It matches the Rfam family "Bacterial small subunit ribosomal RNA", at positions 338 to 795 of the family's 1533-position model. The record is from RNAcentral.
CCUACGGGAGGCAGCAGUGGGGAAUAUUGGUCAAUGGACGAAACCCUGACCCAGCCACGCCGCGUUAAUGAUGAAGGUCUUCUGAUUGUACAGCUCUUUUCUAAGGGAAGCAGAAAGUGACGGUACCUUAGGAAUAAGCCUCGGCUACCUACGUGCCAGCAGCCGCGGUAAUACGUAGGAGGCGAGCGUUAUCCGGAAUGACUGGGUGUAAAGGGUGCGUAGGUGGUUUGGCAAGUUAGUAGGGAAACUGCAAGGCCCAACCUUGGAACUACUACUGAAAAUGGUGGACGUGAGUGCAGGAGAGGCAUGCGGAAUGCCUAGUGUAGCGGUGAAAUGCGUAGAUAUUAGGAGGAACACCGGUGGCGAAGGCGGGUUGCUAGACUGUAACUGACGCUGAGGCACGAAAGCGUGGGGAGCAAACAGGAUUAGAUACCCGGGUAGUC